AUGCAAACCAUCCUCUUUGCUUCCUUUGUGAUGGACACUCCUUAGCUUCUGCGCCUUAAUAAGUAUCCCAGAAAUUAUCCAACCAACAUUUUUGAUGUGGAAAUGUGAAUGAAAUCUCUUUUGGUAGAACUACAAGAAAGAUUUUAAAGGUCGUAUUUUUUCAGUUUUAUCAACAUGGACUUAGUAAGUAGCAUAACGUCAUCAGACUGAUCUGGUUCAACUUUUAUGUUACAGAGUUGUGAGUUGUUGUGAGUUGUUUUUCAGUUCCAUGGACCCCCUGAGCAUGCCCAGAUGAACCAAGUGUGCAGGAACCUAAGUGCUUGGACUAAGGAGUGGGGACUGAAUUAAGAAGCGGACACCCCAUGGCAGGGUCCAGUCAGAUCAUGCCUCCCAGCAUCACCUCAUUGCAGGAUCAGAUCAUCCUCAUUACCCUAUGGUUAUGAAACCUGACCUAGCCUCAAGCUCAGGGAGACAGAUUUGAGCAUUUCCUUCAGUUUCCUUGUCAGUCUACUCACAAUAAACCUUUCUCACUGCCAAAACCCAGUGCUUUGGUGCUUGACUUAACUUUGCCUGAGGGCAAACGGACCUGGUUUGGUUUGGUGACAGUAGUUUGUGUGUUAUUUUAAAGCAUUGGUGUUUUAAAAUUG
RNAcentral lists this long non-coding RNA (647 nucleotides) under Homo sapiens (human). Its description in RNAcentral is "HSALNT0389731". Lineage: Eukaryota; Metazoa; Chordata; Mammalia; Primates; Hominidae. The record is from RNAcentral.